RNAcentral lists this ribosomal RNA (497 nucleotides) under uncultured bacterium. RNAcentral's name for it is "partial 16S ribosomal RNA". It matches the Rfam family "Bacterial small subunit ribosomal RNA", at positions 28 to 507 of the family's 1533-position model. The record is from RNAcentral.
GACGAACGCUGGCGGCGUGCUUAACACAUGCAAGUCGAGCGAACAGACGAGGAGCUUGCUCCUCUGACGUUAGCGGCGGACGGGUGAGUAACACGUGGAUAACCUACCUAUAAGACUGGGAUAACUUCGGGAAACCGGAGCUAAUACCGGAUAAUAUAUUGAACCGCAUGGUUCAAUAGUGAAAGACGGUUUUGUUGUCACUUAUAGAUGGAUCCGCGCCGCAUUAGCUAGUUGGUAAGGUAACGGCUUACCAAGGCAACGAUGCGUAGCCGACCUGAGAGGGUGAUCGGCCACACUGGAACUGAGACACGGUCCAGACUCCUACGGGAGGCAGCAGUAGGGAAUCUUCCGCAAUGGGCGAAAGCCUGACGGAGCAACGCCGCGUGAGUGAUGAAGGUCUUCGGAUCGUAAAACUCUGUUAUUAGGGAAGAACAAAUGUGUAAGUAACUAUGCACGUCUUGACGGUACCUAAUCAGAAAGCCACGGCUAACUACGUG